RNAcentral lists this ribosomal RNA (1432 nucleotides) under Triticum aestivum (bread wheat). RNAcentral's name for it is "partial small subunit ribosomal RNA". Lineage: Eukaryota; Viridiplantae; Streptophyta; Magnoliopsida; Poales; Poaceae. The record is from RNAcentral.
CUUCAUUUUGUUGUCGUACAUUGAGGUUUUUUGUUCGUGAUCAUAGCCCAGCCCAGCCCAUUUAAACAGACAUGCAGGCCUUUCAAGCUUUAACUCGACAAUAACCUAUUUAGGCCUAGCCUGUUACAGUUUUUGUAUUGUAUGUAUACAUAAACCAAGCUGGAGAAGAGCUGCCGUCUCCCCUCCAGAGUAUUUGCUUUGCUUCCUUCGUCCGUCCACUCCACGCCACGGCCGGCCGCUCACGAUCCCUUCCGCCGGAUCUGCCGAUGGAAGCCGCCGGGAUUGGGUGGCUAGCGCAAGAGAUCCUUUCACACCCCCUGAUCGGCAAGCCCUGGGUCCGUGAGGCCGGGCUCGCGGAAGAAAUCGAGGGUCUCACGUCUGCAAUCAAGGGAGUCCGCAUGGUCGCCUCCGUUGUUGACGGCAGGGAGCUCGGCAACGAGCCACUGGCUGAAUCUCUUGCUGAGCUCAAGGAGGCGCUCUAUGAUGCGGCCAACGUGAUCGACGACCUCAGCUCCCACAGGCUCAAACAGGGUAAGCCUGCCUACCACCUGUAGAUUACUUGAGUUGUUAGUCUCUGUUGCAAAAUAUAGUUAAAUUAGAUUUUACCUGAGCUGGGCUCCGUUCUUUAGGUGGUGGUGUAGAAAUAGCCGAUGCUACUGUGAUUUUUUUUUUUUGAACCGGGCUAAACCCCUUUCCAUCAAUGCAUAACGGAAAUACAUCUGAUCCAAGAGUUCACAAGGGAAAGGGAAGAAGCGAGUCCAAAGCACCACUGGUAAAAAUCACAGCCGAUGGAAUUAGAAUUUAUCCGACCUUCCUUCUUCAGGUAGUGGUGUAGAAAUAGCCGAUGGAGACGCCGUUGUGAAAUCUAGUUUUGUUCAUGUUUUGGUCAGUUCGUACGAGUUACUAGCGUUUUGUUGAAACUCUUCAUGCCUUGUUUAGUUUCCCUUGCAAAAAGAAAUUUAAAAAAUACCCGGUCUGUUGAGGCCUGGGAAUGUUAUUUCACUGAACCUAUAACCUUUUGGCAAGGCUUGGUUCCUAAAUGUAAAGGAGGCAGCGAAUUUACGAUUAAUGGGAUCAUGCUAAUACUUCUCUUAUUUCUGGCACAGCUGCUUCGACAUCGAUGGUCGAUGCUGAUAUACCGCCAACAAGUAGCAGUCGUGGGAAGAGGCAACGCUCCAAGGCAUGGGACCAUUUUGUGGUUAUAAGAGAUGGUGAUGGAAACCCUGAGAAGGCAGAAUGUAAGUACUGUCAAACAGUAGUUCAGUGUAAGACUACAAACGGGACAGGAGUUUUGAGCAGGCAUAUCAAGAGUGCUGGUUGUAGGGCAGGUCACCAACAGCAAGACCCUUCCUCAUGGUAGGUUUUACAGAUCCAAGAACAACAAAAUUCUCUUUAUGAGCUACCCUAGGACAAUUCAUUCCUUUUUUUUUUU